Molecule: transfer RNA, 70 nt
Filed under: Ctenophorus cristatus
Lineage: Eukaryota; Metazoa; Chordata; Lepidosauria; Squamata; Agamidae
Description: tRNA-Trp
Source: RNAcentral
AGGGGCUUAGGACUAACAAAACCGAGAGCCUUCAAAGCCCUAAAUAAGAGACGUACCCUCUUAGCCCCUG